Molecule: ribosomal RNA, 392 nt
Filed under: uncultured bacterium
Lineage: Bacteria
Description: bacterial SSU rRNA
Rfam family: Bacterial small subunit ribosomal RNA
Source: RNAcentral
ACAAUGGGGGGAACCCUGAUGCAGCGACGCCGCGUGGGUGAAGGAGCGUUUCGGCGCGUAAAGCCCUAUCGGCAGGGAAGAAGGAGGACGGUACCUGACUAAGAAGCCUCGGCUAACUACGUGCCAGCAGCCGCGGUAAUACGUAGGAGGCGAGCGUUAUCCGGAAUGACUGGGCGUAAAGGGUGCGUAGGUGGUUUGGCAAGUUAGUAGCGUAACUCCAAGGCUCAACCUUGGAACUACUACUAAAACUGUUGGACUUGAGUGCAGGAGGGGCAACCGGAAUUCCUAGUGUAGCGGUGGAAUGCGUAGAUAUUAGGAGGAACACCAGUGGCGAAGGCGGGUUGCUAGACUGUAACUGACACUGAGGCACGAAAGCGUGGGGAGCAAACAGG